Molecule: long non-coding RNA, 469 nt
Organism: Cottoperca gobio
Lineage: Eukaryota; Metazoa; Chordata; Actinopteri; Perciformes; Bovichtidae
Exons: 3
Source: RefSeq, a predicted model, not a curated record
CAUCGCCCCGGAGAGACCGCCAUCCCAGCAAGAGCCCCCGCUGACACCGCAGCCGGUCCAGAGACAGACGCCACCGCUCCAAAUCCCCCGGUCAUCACAGAAGCCACAGACAUCGCAGCCACUCAAAGUCCCCAGAGAGGAGUUCAAAAAAGAGUCACAAGAAGAGUCGAAGAGGAAACGAGUGAUGUUUCUUAUAUAUCUUCCCUUUUUAUUUUUUACCUCCAAACGGUCAUAGAACUUGCUUCUAAAUCUUGUACGAAAUUUGAGUUUUUUUAAUUUUAAGUUUACAAGUCAUUUCCAUUUUCGAUGUUGGACCACCGACAUGUCUAAGAUUUUACAAUGUAAAGCCCUCCGGUCUCAGCAGUGUGUAUGGACAGUAUAUAUUCACUCACUCCAUCUGCAGCCUUUCAGCCUCAUUCUCACACCCUCUGAGAGAGAGCAAUCUUACAGUACGUCUUCAGAUACUUAC